GAUGAACGCUGGCGGCGUGCCUAAUACAUGCAAGUCGAGCGAACAGACGAGGAGCUUGCUCCUCUGACGUUAGCGGCGGACGGGUGAGUAACACGUGGAUAACCUACCUAUAAGACUGGGAUAACUUCGGGAAACCGGAGCUAAUACCGGAUAAUAUAUUGAACCGCAUGGUUCAAUAGUGAAAGACGGUUUUGCUGUCACUUAUAGAUGGAUCCGCGCCGCAUUAGCCAGUUGGUAAGGUAACGGCUUACCAAGGCAACGAUGCGUAGCCGACCUGAGAGGGUGAUCGGCCACACUGGAACUGAGACACGGUCCAGACUCCUGCGGGAGGCAGCAGUAGGGAAUCUUCCGCAAUGGGCGAAAGCCUGACGGAGCGACGCCGCGUGAGUGAUGAAGGUCUUCGGAUCGUAAAGCUCUGUUAUUAGGGAAGACCAAAUGUGUAAGUAACUAUGCACGUCUUGACGGUACCUAAUCAGAAAGCCACGGCUAACUACGUG
Molecule: ribosomal RNA, 497 nt
Filed under: uncultured bacterium
Lineage: Bacteria
Description: partial 16S ribosomal RNA
Rfam family: Bacterial small subunit ribosomal RNA
Source: RNAcentral